RNAcentral lists this ribosomal RNA (468 nucleotides) under uncultured bacterium. RNAcentral describes it as "partial 16S ribosomal RNA". It matches the Rfam family "Bacterial small subunit ribosomal RNA", at positions 28 to 507 of the family's 1533-position model. The record is from RNAcentral.
GACGAACGCUGGCGGCGUGCUUAACACAUGCAAGUCGAACGGAAAGGCCCUGCUUUUGUGGGGUGCUCGAGUGGCGAACGGGUGAGUAACACGUGAGUAACCUGCCCUUGACUUUGGGAUAACUUCAGGAAACUGGGGCUAAUACCGGAUAGGAGCUCCUGCUGCAUGGUGGGGGGUGGAAAGUUUCGGCGGUUGGGGAUGGAUUCGCGGCUUAUCAGCUUGUUGGUUGGGUAGUGGCUUACCCAGGCUUUGACGGGUAGCCGGCCUGAGAGGGUGACCGGCCACAUUGGGACUGAGAUACGGCCCAGACUCCAACGGGAGGCAGCAGUGGGGAAUAUUGUACAAUGGGCGGAAGCCUGAUGCAGCAACGCCGCGUGCGGGAUGACGGCCUUCGGGUUGUAAACCGCUUUCGCCUGUGACGAAGCGUGAGUGACGGUAAUGGGUAAAGAAGCACCGGCUAACUACGUG